RNAcentral lists this ribosomal RNA (927 nucleotides) under Salmonella enterica subsp. arizonae. RNAcentral's name for it is "partial 23S ribosomal RNA". It matches the Rfam family "Bacterial large subunit ribosomal RNA", at positions 711 to 1556 of the family's 2925-position model. The record is from RNAcentral. Lineage: Bacteria; Pseudomonadati; Pseudomonadota; Gammaproteobacteria; Enterobacterales; Enterobacteriaceae.
AGACCCGAAACCCGGUGAUCUAGCCAUGGGCAGGUUGAAGGUUGGGUAACACUAACUGGAGGACCGAACCGACUAAUGUUGAAAAAUUAGCGGAUGACCUGUGGCUGGGGGUGAAAGGCCAAUCAAACCGGGAGAUAGCUGGUUCUCCCCGAAAGCUAUUUAGGUAGCGCCUCGUGAAUUCAUCUCCGGGGGUAGAGCACUGUUUCGGCCAGGGGGCCAUCCCGGCUUACCAACCCGAUGCAAACUGCGAAUACCGGAGAAUGUUAUCACGGGAGACACACGGCGGGUGCUAACGUCCGUCGUGAAGAGGGAAACAACCCAGACCGCCAGCUAAGGUCCCAAAGUCAUGGUUAAGUGGGAAACGAUGUGGGAAGGCCCAGACAGCCAGGAUGUUGGCUUAGAAGCAGCCAUCAUUUAAAGAAAGCGUAAUAGCUCACUGGUCGAGUCGGCCUGCGCGGAAGAUGUAACGGGGCUAAACCAUGCACCGAAGCUGCGGCAGCGAACGUAUCACUUAAAGCGAUUCAGCGGAUGACGAUUGACGGAGCGAAGCGACGUCAAAGCGUUUUACAACGUCGAGUCGGUUUAAGGAUACGUUCGUUGGGUAGGGGAGCGUUCUGUAAGCCUGCGAAGGUGUGUCGUGAGGCAUGCUGGAGGUAUCAGAAGUGCGAAUGCUGACAUAAGUAACGAUAAUGCGGGUGAAAAACCCGCACGCCGGAAGACCAAGGGUUCCUGUCCAACGUUAAUCGGGGCAGGGUGAGUCGACCCCUAAGGCGAGGCCGAAAGGCGUAGUCGAUGGGAAACAGGUUAAUAUUCCUGUACCUGGUGUUACUGCGAAGGGGGGACGGAGAAGGCUAUGUUGGCCGGGCGACGGUUGUCCCGGUUUAAGCGUGUAGGUGUGUGUUCCAGGAAAAUCCGGUUCACUUUAAC